RNAcentral lists this ribosomal RNA (400 nucleotides) under uncultured bacterium. Its description in RNAcentral is "partial 16S ribosomal RNA". It matches the Rfam family "Bacterial small subunit ribosomal RNA", at positions 360 to 776 of the family's 1533-position model. The record is from RNAcentral.
AAUAUUGCACAAUGGGCGAAAGCCUGAUGCAGCAACGCCGCGUGAGCGACGAAGGCCUUCGGGUCGUAAAGCUCUGUCCUAAGGGAAGAAUAAAUGACGGUACCUUGGGAGGAAGCCCCGGCUAACUACGUGCCAGCAGCCGCGGUAAUACGUAGGGGGCAAGCGUUAUCCGGAAUCACUGGGCGUAAAGGGUGCGUAGGCGGUCGACAAAGUCUGGGGUGAAAGGCUACGGCUCAACCGUAGUAAGCCUUUGAAACUGUAGGGCUUGAGUGCAGGAGAGGAGAGUGGAAUUCCUAGUGUAGCGGUGAAAUGCGUAGAUAUUAGGAGGAACACCAGUGGCGAAGGCGACUCUCUGGACUGCAACUGACGCUGAGGCACGAAAGCGUGGGGAGCGAACAGG